This 863-nucleotide ribosomal RNA is filed under the name uncultured bacterium. RNAcentral's name for it is "bacterial SSU rRNA". It matches the Rfam family "Bacterial small subunit ribosomal RNA", at positions 60 to 915 of the family's 1533-position model. The record is from RNAcentral.
AGUCGCAGGGUACAUGAGGAAAGCUUGCUUUCCUUGAUGACGACUGGCGCACGGGUGAGUAACGCGUAUCCAACCUUCCCAUAACUACGGGAUAACCCGUUGAAAGACGGCCUAAUACCGUAUGACAUCGUUUGCUGACAUCAAAUAACGAUUAAAGGUUUAGCGGUUAUGGAUGGGGAUGCGUCUGAUUAGCUUGUUGGCGGGGUAACGGCCCACCAAGGCUACGAUCAGUAGGGGUUCUGAGAGGAAGGUCCCCCACAUUGGAACUGAGACACGGUCCAAACUCCUACGGGAGGCAGCAGUGAGGAAUAUUGGUCAAUGGGCGAGAGCCUGAACCAGCCAAGUAGCGUGCAGGAAGACGGCCCUAUGGGUUGUAAACUGCUUUUAUGUGGGGAUAAAGUGCGCGACGUGUCGUGCAUUGCAGGUACCACAUGAAUAAGGACCGGCUAAUUCCGUGCCAGCAGCCGCGGUAAUACGGAAGGUCCGGGCGUUAUCCGGAUUUAUUGGGUUUAAAGGGAGCGUAGGCUGUCUAUUAAGCGUGUUGUGAAAUUUACCGGCUCAACCGGUGGCUUGCAGCGCGAACUGGUCGACUUGAGUAUGCAGGAAGUAGGCGGAAUUCAUGGUGUAGCGGUGAAAUGCUUAGAUAUCAUGACGAACUCCGAUUGCGCAGGCAGCUUACUGUAGCAUAACUGACGCUGAUGCUCGAAAGUGCGGGUAUCAAACAGGAUUAGAUACCCUGGUAGUCCGCACGGUAAACGAUGGAUGCUCGCUAUUCGUCCUAUUUGGAUGAGUGGCCAAGUGAAAACAUUAAGCAUCCCACCUGGGGAGUACGCCGGCAACGGUGAAACUCAAAGGAAUUGACG